CGUAAAGAGAAGCGAAGCGGUGACGUGGAGCAAACCUCAGAAAGCCAAUCUCAGUUCGGAUUGUAGGCUGCAACUCGCCUACAUGAAGUUGGAAUCGCUAGUAAUCGCGAAUCAGAAUGUCGCGGUGAAUACGUUCCCGGGUCUUGUACACACCGCCCGUCACACCACGAGAGUUUACAACACCCGAAGUCAGUGGCCUAACCGCAAGGAGGGAGCUGCCUAAGGUGGGGUAGAUGAUUGGGGUGAAGUCGUAACAAGGUAGC
This 263-nucleotide ribosomal RNA is filed under the name uncultured bacterium. Its description in RNAcentral is "partial 16S ribosomal RNA". It matches the Rfam family "Bacterial small subunit ribosomal RNA", at positions 1238 to 1500 of the family's 1533-position model. The record is from RNAcentral.